GACGGAGGAUGCAAGCGUUAUCCGGAAUUAUUGGGCGUAAAGCGUCCGCAGGUGGCCUAUCAAGUCUGCUGUCAAAGACCGGGGCUUAACCCCAGAAAGGCAGUGGAAACUGAAAGGCUAGAGGAUGGUAGGGGCAGAGGGAAUUCCUGGUGUAGCGGUGAAAUGCGCAGAUAUCAGGAAGAACACCCGUGGCGAAGGCGGCUCUCUGGGACGGUACUGACGCUGAGACGCGAAAGCGUGGGGAGCGAACAGG
This 253-nucleotide ribosomal RNA is filed under the name uncultured bacterium. Its description in RNAcentral is "partial 16S ribosomal RNA". It matches the Rfam family "Bacterial small subunit ribosomal RNA", at positions 524 to 776 of the family's 1533-position model. The record is from RNAcentral.